This 773-nucleotide ribosomal RNA is filed under the name uncultured bacterium. Its description in RNAcentral is "bacterial SSU rRNA". It matches the Rfam family "Bacterial small subunit ribosomal RNA", at positions 8 to 798 of the family's 1533-position model. The record is from RNAcentral.
AGAGUUUGAUCCUGGCUCAGGACGAACGCUGGCGGCGUGCUUAACACAUGCAAGUCGAACGGAAAGGCCCUUCGGGGUACUCGAGUGGCGAACGGGUGAGUAACACGUGGGUGAUCUGCCCUGCACUCUGGGAUAAGCCUGGGAAACUGGGUCUAAUACCGGAUAGGACCACACACUUCAUGGUGAGUGGUGCAAAGCUUUUGCGGUGUGGGAUGAGCCCGCGGCCUAUCAGCUUGUUGGUGGGGUAAUGGCCCACCAAGGCGACGACGGGUAGCCGGCCUGAGAGGGUGACCGGCCACACUGGGACUGAGAUACGGCCCAGACUCCUACGGGAGGCAGCAGUGGGGAAUAUUGCACAAUGGGCGCAAGCCUGAUGCAGCGACGCCGCGUGAGGGAUGACGGCCUUCGGGUUGUAAACCUCUUUCAGUAGGGACGAAGCGAAAGUGACGGUACCUACAGAAGAAGGACCGGCCAACUACGUGCCAGCAGCCGCGGUAAUACGUAGGGUCCGAGCGUUGUCCGGAAUUACUGGGCGUAAAGAGCUCGUAGGUGGUUUGUCGCGUUGUUCGUGAAAACUCACAGCUUAACUGUGGGCGUGCGGGCGAUACGGGCAGACUAGAGUACUGCAGGGGAGACUGGAAUUCCUGGUGUAGCGGUGGAAUGCGCAGAUAUCAGGAGGAACACCGGUGGCGAAGGCGGGUCUCUGGGCAGUAACCGACGCUGAGGAGCGAAAGCGUGGGUAGCGAACAGGAUUAGAUACCCUGGUAGUCCAA